This is a non-coding RNA of Hymenopellis radicata, 90 nucleotides long. Lineage: Eukaryota; Fungi; Basidiomycota; Agaricomycetes; Agaricales; Physalacriaceae. The record is from the annotation of a GenBank genome assembly.
UCUCUGAUAGUAUAUCGGUUAGUACACGCGCCUGUCAUCCAUAUAUCCGAUUCUUCGCGCGAAAGCUGGGUUCGACUCCCAGUCAGAGAG